This 390-nucleotide RNase P RNA is filed under the name Sporosarcina sp. HYO08. RNAcentral describes it as "Bacterial RNase P class B". It matches the Rfam family "Bacterial RNase P class B". Rfam says of the family: Ribonuclease P (RNase P) is a ubiquitous endoribonuclease, found in archaea, bacteria and eukarya as well as chloroplasts and mitochondria. Its best characterised activity is the generation of mature 5'-ends of tRNAs by cleaving the 5'-leader elements of precursor-tRNAs. The record is from Rfam by way of RNAcentral. Lineage: Bacteria; Bacillati; Bacillota; Bacilli; Caryophanales; Caryophanaceae.
GAAUUCAGGUAAUCGCUGCAAUGCUUGACGUUGUAGAGGAAAGUCCAUGCUCACACGAUUCUGAGACGAUCGUAGUGUUCGUGCGUGACGAAAAAAUAAGUCGCGGCUUCGUGCAAAUAGCACGUUGACGGCGGGAAUAAGCCCUAAGUCCGUUCGCGGAUAUGGGUGAGGUUCCCUGAAAAGUGCCACAGUGACGUAGCCGAUUCGGAAACGGAUCGGGUGGAACGCGGUAAACCCCACGAGUGAGAAACCCAAAUUAUGGUAGGGGCACUCUUCUGAAGGAAUUGAACGGACGAAGGGACAGGCAAUUGCCUGUAGAUAGAUGAUUACCACCCUAAGUACGAGGCUUCGGCCGUUUGAGUACACGGGAACAAAACAUGGCUUAUCGAA